UCUCUUCAGUGAACCGUUAUCGUAGUAAUCGUGAUAAAUAUUCAUCUUUCCAGAGCCGCAUGAGUUCAUUUAUCAGCUUCUGCGUGUAUUGCCAGUGUGACAAGGUGGUACUUGAUCGACCGGACGCCAGCUUUCCGCAGACCUCCACAGAUUGGACUUGCCACUGGAAUGUAGUGCCAUUAAGUGCCUUCUAUAUCCUAGUGUUGACCCUAUUUGUCCAGUAAAUUGCAUUAUUAUUCCAGGCCUUAUGAAACUCCUGGCUCAGACAAAGUUUCUAUCCUGGUUGCUUCACAGGUCCGGUCACUCUUCAACAAAGCGUAUAAAAGCACCUAUAAGUUUUGGACCAAAUAAAAAUUGUUCUUUCUUUCUUUAAAGGUUCAGCCAAACCAACGCAAUCACACGCGAUCAGCCGGCGUGCAGUGAUGGCGAUCAGACAAAAUGCAUCGAUCGCCAUCGCUGCACGCCGGCUGACCGAGUGUGAAGUGAACCUUAUAGGAUUCGGAAGUGAUGUCACCAACGAGUUCAAUGUGGGUAACUUUUGUAGUCAUGCAGACAAUAAAUAUCACUAUAUUAUAGGC
Ostrinia nubilalis (European corn borer) is the source of this 578-nucleotide long non-coding RNA. RefSeq lists it as uncharacterized. NCBI's taxonomy places the organism in Eukaryota, Metazoa, Arthropoda, Insecta, Lepidoptera, Crambidae. The transcript has 2 exons. The record is from RefSeq and is a predicted model, not a curated record.